This 277-nucleotide ribosomal RNA is filed under the name uncultured bacterium. RNAcentral's name for it is "partial 16S ribosomal RNA". It matches the Rfam family "Bacterial small subunit ribosomal RNA", at positions 334 to 628 of the family's 1533-position model. The record is from RNAcentral.
UGGGCCUACGGGAGGCAGCAGUAGGGAAUAUUGCUAAAUGGGGGAAACCCUGAAGCAGCAACGCCGCGUGGAGGAUGAAGGUUUUCGGAUUGUAAACUCCUUUUGUUAGAGAAGAUAAUGACGGUAUCUAACGAAUAAGCACCGGCUAACUCCGUGCCAGCAGCCGCGCUAAUACGGAGGGUGCAAGAGUUACUCGGAAUCACUGGGCGUAAAGAGCUCGUAGGCGGGAUAGCAAGUCAGAUGUGAAAUCAUAUGGCUUAACCAUAGAACUGCAUUU